UACGGAGGGUGCGAGCGUUGUCCGGAAUCAUUGGGCGUAAAGGGCGCGUAGGUGGCCCGGUCAGUUCGUGGUGAAAGCGCGGGCUCAACCCUGCGUCGGCCAUGAAUACUGCCGCGGCUGGAGCACUGUAGAGGCAGGCGGAAUUCCGGGUGUAGCGGUGGAAUGCGUAGAGAGUCCGGAAGAACACCGGUGGCGAAGGGCGGCCUGCUGGGCCAGUUGCUGGACACUGAGGCGCGACAGCGUGGGGAGCAAACAGG
Molecule: ribosomal RNA, 257 nt
Filed under: uncultured bacterium
Lineage: Bacteria
Description: partial 16S ribosomal RNA
Rfam family: Bacterial small subunit ribosomal RNA
Source: RNAcentral